RNAcentral lists this ribosomal RNA (496 nucleotides) under uncultured bacterium. RNAcentral's name for it is "bacterial SSU rRNA". It matches the Rfam family "Bacterial small subunit ribosomal RNA", at positions 903 to 1397 of the family's 1533-position model. The record is from RNAcentral.
AAAUGAAUUGACGGGGACCCGCACAAGCAGCGGAGCAUGUGGUUUAAUUCGAAGCAACGCGAAGAACCUUACCAAGGCUUGACAUCCCCUUGACCGGCACAGAGAUGUGCCCUCUCCUUCGGGAGCAAGGGUGACAGGUGGUGCAUGGUUGUCGUCAGCUCGUGUCGUGAGAUGUUGGGUUAAGUCCCGCAACGAGCGCAACCCUUAUCUUUAGUUGCCAGCAUUUAAGGUGGGCACUCUAAAGAGACUGCCGAUGAUAAAUCGGAGGAAGGUGGGGAUGACGUCAAAUCAUCAUGCCCCUUAUGUCUUGGGCUACACACGUGCUACAAUGGUCGGCACAACGGGGAGCGAAGGAGUGAUCUGGAGCAAAUCCCAAUAAACCGAUCCCAGUUCGGAUUGUAGGCUGCAACUCGCCUACAUGAAGUCGGAGUUGCUAGUAAUCGCGAAUCAGAACGUCGCGGUGAAUGCGUUCCCGGGUCUUGCACACACCGCCCGU